GGAAAGGUGCUCGAGUGGUUGAAGAGGCACGCCUGGAAAGCGUGUAUACCCCUAAAGGGUAUCGAGAGUUCGAAUCUCUUCCUUUCCG
RNAcentral lists this transfer RNA (88 nucleotides) under Prevotella sp. RNAcentral describes it as "tRNA-Ser". It matches the Rfam family "tRNA". Rfam says of the family: Transfer RNA (tRNA) molecules are approximately 80 nucleotides in length. RNAcentral also lists the same sequence under 3 other names. The record is from RNAcentral. Lineage: Bacteria; Pseudomonadati; Bacteroidota; Bacteroidia; Bacteroidales; Prevotellaceae.